This is a small nucleolar RNA of Plodia interpunctella (Indianmeal moth), 80 nucleotides long. The record is from RefSeq and is a predicted model, not a curated record. NCBI's taxonomy places the organism in Eukaryota, Metazoa, Arthropoda, Insecta, Lepidoptera, Pyralidae.
AUGAAAUGAUGAUUUUCAAAUGCAACAAUGAAUCUCUAUGAUUAUCACAAAAAUACACGAGCUUUUUAACUCUGAUCUAU